Molecule: long non-coding RNA, 1071 nt
Organism: Lycium ferocissimum
Lineage: Eukaryota; Viridiplantae; Streptophyta; Magnoliopsida; Solanales; Solanaceae
Exons: 2
Source: RefSeq, a predicted model, not a curated record
UUUGUCAUAUGAAUUUAGUUCAAUAGAAUGAUUUGUAAUUUGGGUUCACUAACCUCUAAAAAUCAGAUCUUUUUCCUAUUUAUGGAUGUUGGUUGUGUAAUCCCUAUUUGAAUUUCUUGGUCCUUGUUGGUUAAUAGUUUGAUAAAGAUUAGCUAAAAGAAGAUAUAGUGCAUCAACAAUUAUUGAGAAGUCCGGUAGAAGUAUUUAAUUUCUCUUUAACUUCAUAUCUUGGUCUGCAUAUGUGGUCUGGUUAAGAAUGAUAUUACCUCUUAAUGUGCUAUUCAAAUUUAGUUAAUUGUAGAGUGUUUAAAGAAUGAUAUGUCCUUCUAACUAAUUGGCAAUAGGUUCCUGUGGUAAGCUCUAACAUAUCCUGGAAUAAUAAAUCACCAAAUUUAAUCUUAUCUUUAAGAUUCAGUUGUUUAAGGUCCGAUUUUUUUGUCUAUGUUUUAGUAAGUAAGCUACGUUCGAGAAAUGUUGUUUGAAGUGUUCAUUUAAAAUCAGUUUUACGUUCUAUGAAUAAGAUACUUGGAAGUAAUUAAAAUAUGGACCAUUAGUUUAAGACCUGAUGUUGCCCCUUUAAAGAAAAAAUGUGAUUGAGCAUGUUAAUUCCCUUGGUUCUUUGGAUAGUUAUUUUUACAAGAGGUACCUACUUCUAGAAAGCGAGUUUUGUUUUCAUGUUCAUCAUCAUCAGUUAUGACUUCGCUAUGCUAUCUUCCAUGUAUUUCUAAUGUGAAAAGCAUGUUGCAGUGGAUUACUUGGGGUCUUUGUACUCUUUGAUUCUUAUUCUCUUAUUGUAGUAAUGUUUCUUCCUCUUCUCUUUAUCUUCAUACUUGAAUAAUGAAAAUGCUCCCCUUUGCUGUCUUAUAGCGAUGCCUUGUUCUACUUGUUUAUGGUCAGUCCUUGCAAUAUAGUCACAUUAGUCAUCUUUGAGGUUCUCUCUAAGUCACGUGUGGCACUAGAGUCGCAAGUUUGGAUGACCAAGUGUCGAAUCUUCCUUUACAUUAGUGUCAAAGUUUGUUCUUGAGUGCUAGUUGUCCAUGCUACUUAUGAAGAUUGUGCUUUUCUUUUACA